Molecule: long non-coding RNA, 426 nt
Filed under: Oryza sativa aus subgroup
Lineage: Eukaryota; Viridiplantae; Streptophyta; Magnoliopsida; Poales; Poaceae
Description: lncRNA OsNaBo_07g0010690
Source: RNAcentral
CGUUGCAACAUCAAAGGGAAACAACUGCGUUUCCCUUUUUUCCUCCGUAACCGCUCCGACACAAUCGGAGAGAGCGCGCGGAGAGGCGGCGUGGAGUUAGGUCUAGCGGGGAGGCGACGGCGGCGACUGAGGCGGUUCCGACCAGCAGCAGCGGCGUUCGAGGCGGCGCCGGAGAAGCUAGAAGCUGUCGCAGCGGCUUCUCCAAUCGUCGCAUUCCCCUUUACGGCUCUACCCCCACCACACUCUCACCCCGCGGCUGCUUGUUGCUGCGGUUCCGACCAGCGGCGGCGGCGGCUUCUAGCUCCAUUCCCGGCGUCGAGGAUGCCUGAUUGGUGUAGUGGUUCCAACUUCAAGCAUAGAUGGGGCGGUGUGAGGUUUAAGCGCACUAUGCUUGAGUUCAAACCCGAUCAAAGCAAUUCAUCAUAG